This 482-nucleotide ribosomal RNA is filed under the name uncultured bacterium. RNAcentral describes it as "partial 16S ribosomal RNA". It matches the Rfam family "Bacterial small subunit ribosomal RNA", at positions 28 to 523 of the family's 1533-position model. The record is from RNAcentral.
GACGAACGCUGGAGGCGUGCUUAACACAUGCAAGUCGAACGAUGAAAUGGAGCUUGCUCCAUGGAUUAGUGGCGAACGGGUGAGUAACACGUGAAUAACCUGCCCUUAAUUUUGGAAUAACCCAGGGAAACCUGGGCCAAUACCGGAUAAGUAAACCUGUGGCAUCACAUGGUUUUGGAAAGUUUUUCGAUUAAGGAUGGAUUCGCGGCCUAUCAGCUUGUUGGUGGGGUAAUGGCUCACCAAGGCGACGGCGGGUAGCCGGCCGGAGAGGGUGAACGGCCACACUGGGACUGAGACACGGCCCAGACUCCUACGGGAGGCAGCAGUGGGGAAUAUUGCGCAAUGGACGAAAGUCUGACGCAGCGACGCCUCGUGAGGGACGAAGGUCUUCGGAUUGUAAACCUCUUUCAGCAGGGACGAAGCGAAAGUGACGGUACCUGCAGAAGAAGCACCGGCUAACUAUGUGCCAGCCGCCGCCGUAA